CAUUACUGAGUUUACGCUCUAUACCCUUUGUGAACAUACCUAUAACUGUUGCUUCGGCGGGUAGGGUCUCCGUGACCCUCCCGGCCUCCCGCCCCCGGGCGGGUCGGCGCCCGCCGGAGGAUAACCAAACUCUGAUUUAACGACGUUUCUUCUGAGUGGUACAAGCAAAUAAUCAAAACUUUUAACAACGGAUCUCUUGGUUCUGGCAUCGAUGAAGAACGCAGCGAAAUGCGAUAAGUAAUGUGAAUUGCAGAAUUCAGUGAAUCAUCGAAUCUUUGAACGCACAUUGCGCCCGCCAGCAUUCUGGCGGGCAUGCCUGUUCGAGCGUCAUUUCAACCCUCAAGCUCUGCUUGGUGUUGGGGCCCUACAGCUGAUGUAGGCCCUCAAAGGUAGUGGCGGACCCUCCCGGAGCCUCCUUUGCGUAGUAACUUUACGUCUCGCACUGGGAUCCGGAGGGACUCUUGCCGUAAAACCCCCCAAUUUUCCAAAGGUUGACCUCGGAUCAGGUAGGAAUACCCGC
Molecule: ribosomal RNA, 520 nt
Filed under: Colletotrichum gloeosporioides
Lineage: Eukaryota; Fungi; Ascomycota; Sordariomycetes; Glomerellales; Glomerellaceae
Description: eukaryotic LSU rRNA
Rfam family: 5.8S ribosomal RNA (bases 177-330)
Source: RNAcentral